RNAcentral lists this ribosomal RNA (775 nucleotides) under Pseudomonas sp. CUL-LABLG5X6. Its description in RNAcentral is "bacterial SSU rRNA". It matches the Rfam family "Bacterial small subunit ribosomal RNA", at positions 1 to 775 of the family's 1533-position model. The record is from RNAcentral. Lineage: Bacteria; Pseudomonadati; Pseudomonadota; Gammaproteobacteria; Pseudomonadales; Pseudomonadaceae.
UUAGAGUUUGAAUCCUGGCUCAGAUUGAACGCUGGCGGCAGGCCUAACACAUGCAAGUCGAGCGGUAGAGAGAAGCUUGCUUCUCUUGAGAGCGGCGGACGGGUGAGUAAUGCCUAGGAAUCUGCCUGGUAGUGGGGGAUAACGUUCGGAAACGGACGCUAAUACCGCAUACGUCCUACGGGAGAAAGCAGGGGACCUUCGGGCCUUGCGCUAUCAGAUGAGCCUAGGUCGGAUUAGCUAGUUGGUGAGGUAAUGGCUCACCAAGGCGACGAUCCGUAACUGGUCUGAGAGGAUGAUCAGUCACACUGGAACUGAGACACGGUCCAGACUCCUACGGGAGGCAGCAGUGGGGAAUAUUGGACAAUGGGCGAAAGCCUGAUCCAGCCAUGCCGCGUGUGUGAAGAAGGUCUUCGGAUUGUAAACCACUUUAAGUUGGGAGGAAGGGCAGUUACCUAAUACGUGAUUGUUUUGACGUUACCGACAGAAUAAGCACCGGCUAACUCUGUGCCAGCAGCCGCGGUAAUACAGAGGGUGCAAGCGUUAAUCGGAAUUACUGGGCGUAAAGCGCGCGUAGGUGGUUAGUUAAGUUGGAUGUGAAAUCCCCGGGCUCAACCUGGGAACUGCAUUCAAAACUGACUGACUAGAGUAUGGUAGAGGGUGGUGGAAUUUCCUGUGUAGCGGUGAAAUGCGUAGAUAUAGGAAGGAACACCAGUGGCGAAGGCGACCACCUGGACUGAUACUGACACUGAGGUGCGAAAGGCGUGGGAGCAACCGG